UACGGAGGGUGCAAGCGUUAAUCGGAAUUACUGGGCGUAAAGCGCACGUAGGUGGUUUGCUAAGUCAGCUGUGAAAUCCCCGGGCUCAACCUGGGCACUGCAGUUGAAACUGGCAAGCUAGAGUAGGGUAGAGGGGUGUGGAAUUCCAGGCGUAGCGGUGAAAUGCAUAGAUAUCUGGAGGAACAUCAGUGGCGAAGGCGACACCCUGGACUCAUACUGACACUGAGGUGCGAAAGCGUGGGGAGCAAACAGA
This 253-nucleotide ribosomal RNA is filed under the name uncultured bacterium. RNAcentral describes it as "partial 16S ribosomal RNA". It matches the Rfam family "Bacterial small subunit ribosomal RNA", at positions 524 to 776 of the family's 1533-position model. The record is from RNAcentral.